Molecule: ribosomal RNA, 641 nt
Filed under: uncultured Sphingobacteriales bacterium
Lineage: Bacteria; Pseudomonadati; Bacteroidota; Sphingobacteriia; Sphingobacteriales
Description: bacterial SSU rRNA
Rfam family: Bacterial small subunit ribosomal RNA
Source: RNAcentral
GAUGAACGCUAGCGGCAGGCUUAAUACAUGCAAGUCGAGGGGCAGCAGGGGUAGCAAUACUCGCUGGCGACCGGCAAACGGGUGAGGAACAUGUACGCAACCUUCCUUUAACUGGAGGAUAGCCCCUCGAAAGAGGGAUUAAUACUCCGUAACAUAAUGAAGUGGCAUCACUUUAUUAUUAUAGCUCCGGCGGUUAAAGAUGGGCGUGCAACUGAUUAGAUAGUUGGCGGGGUAACGGCCCACCAAGUCUGCGAUCAGUAACUGGUGUGAGAGCACGACCAGUCACACGGGCACUGAGACACGGGCCCGACUCCUACGGGAGGCAGCAGUAAGGAAUAUUGGUCAAUGGACGCAAGUCUGAACCAGCCAUGCCGCGUGGAGGAUUAAGGCCCUCUGGGUUGUAAACUCCUUUUAUCUGGGAAGAAAUGUGUUUUUUCUAAGACACUUGACGGUACCAGAGGAAUAAGCACCGGCUAACUCCGUGCCAGCAGCCGCGGUAAUACGGAGGGUGCAAGCGUUAUCCGGAUUCACUGGGUUUAAAGGGUGCGUAGGCGGGCAGAUAAGUCAGUGGUGAAAUCUUCGAGCUUAACUCGGAAACUGCCGUUGAUACUAUUUGUCUUGAAUAUUGUGGAGGUAAGCGG